This is a long non-coding RNA of Bufo bufo (common toad), 375 nucleotides long. RefSeq lists it as uncharacterized. NCBI's taxonomy places the organism in Eukaryota, Metazoa, Chordata, Amphibia, Anura, Bufonidae. The record is from RefSeq and is a predicted model, not a curated record. The transcript has 3 exons.
AACCAGCGCCAUCGGCCCCAUGCCAUUGCAACCAUCAUAAUGUCCCACAGCCAGCGCCAUCAGCCCCAUGUCAUUGCCAGUUUGCCACCAUCAUCAUGUCCCCCAUCAGCCCCAUGCCAUAGCCAUCCACCCCCCCCCCCCCACCCCCUGGUAGAUUCGGGCCCCUGCUAAUAUACUUGCCUUUCCUGCAGGGUGCGCGGCUGGCUGAUGGAGUUCGCAGGAGACGGACUGCGUCUUCUUCCCAGCAUGCACUGGGAGGGACCUGACAUCACACACAGCGUCAGCCAGCGUGCUGACGAUGUGUGCGCGCAAGGCCCUGGCCAGUGCAGCGCUGUGCAGAGUCGGGAGGCCACGGAGCGCUAUGGCAGGGAUUUC